GGAGAGAUGGUCGAGCGGUUUAAGGCAUCGGUCUUGAAAACCGACGAGGGGCAACCCUCCGGGGGUUCGAAUCCCCCUCUCUCCGCCA
This 88-nucleotide transfer RNA is filed under the name Lentisphaeria bacterium. RNAcentral describes it as "tRNA-Ser". It matches the Rfam family "tRNA". From Rfam's summary of the family: Transfer RNA (tRNA) molecules are approximately 80 nucleotides in length. Their secondary structure includes four short double-helical elements and three loops (D, anti-codon, and T loops). The record is from RNAcentral. Lineage: Bacteria; Pseudomonadati; Lentisphaerota; Lentisphaeria.